Molecule: ribosomal RNA, 442 nt
Filed under: uncultured bacterium
Lineage: Bacteria
Description: partial 16S ribosomal RNA
Rfam family: Bacterial small subunit ribosomal RNA
Source: RNAcentral
CCUACGGGAGGCAGCAGUGGGGAAUAUUGGGCAAUGGGCGCAAGCCUGACCCAGCAACGCCGCGUGAAGGAAGAAGGCUUUCGGGUUGUAAACUUCUUUUAAGGGGGAAGAGCAGAAGACGGUACCCCUUGAAUAAGCCACGGCUAACUACGUGCCAGCAGCCGCGGUAAUACGUAGGUGGCAAGCGUUGUCCGGAUUUACUGGGUGUAAAGGGCGUGCAGCCGGAGAGACAAGUCAGAUGUGAACUCCACGGGCGCAACCCGUGAACUGCAUUUGGAACUGUUUCCCUUGAGUGUCGGAGAGGUAAUCGGAAGUCCUUGUGUAGCGGUGAAAUGCGUAGAUAUAAGGAAGAACACCAGUGGCGAAGGCGGAUUACUGGACGAUAACUGACGGUGAGGCGCGAAAGCGUGGGGAGCAAACAGGAUUAGAUACCCGUGUAGUC